UAGAAAAACAAACCCAGCCUUCCUCUCGAUCUCAUCUGGACAUCCAGCCCAGCCCCGCCCCGCCCCUCACAGCCGGCCGCCGCCGCCUCCUACCCCGCCGCCGCGCCUACCCCUACACCAAGUGCCAACACACCCGCGCCCAUCCACUACCGGGGACCCGCGGCCUUCUACCGCCGGCGGCACUCGACGUCGCGGCAAUUGGCGGCUCCCCGACCUUGCUACCAUGGCGCCUCCGGGGCUCCUCCCCGCUGCUUCCACCUUGACAUUGGUUUCCCCAACCCCGCUGGCUUCGCCACCAGCCACUCCUUCUAGGCACACUCUAUCUGCCGUCGGACCCAUCCGCCUGGUUCCAAUGGUGAACAUCGCCGCCACCCUAUUGUGAGGCGAGGUGAUGUUCUUCGAACUGCCGGCUUGAUUCUGCCUAGAAGGGGAUAUCAUACUUCUCCUAAUCAGGAUUGUUGUGUAACGGAAUGAUGGUAGGAUGCUGAAUAAUAAUGGAAGAAAAAGGAGUACAGGCUUUACCUAAUGUACCUACAGCAACAAUGGGUUGCCCCACCAAACAUCACUAGAGGACUAGGAAGGAAAACGGUGAUUUCUCAAUCAGGUUCUAUUGGCCGUUCUAGCAUUAGCAUCAUGAAGAUUCUGGAACAGUGCACGACAUGCCCAAUCCCAAGGUCUUGCCUUAGCUGGUGAAGCACAUGAGCUGGUGUCAAGCAAUAUCCCCUGUAUACUUUGUCCUUGUGUUCUUUCCAGGUAUGCAUCCAUAUCAGCUGCAUCAGGGAGCUCCAUGCACAGUGGUACUACUUCCGAACGUGUAGAACAUGCAAUUGUAUGUAAAUCGCCUUGAAAUGAUGGUUGCUGAAUACUGCGUUAUGCUUGAUAGUCAUCUACCUGGACGACUUCAAGCGCUAAUAGGUAAAUCCUUUUAGAUUUUGUAGUUCUUUUCAGUACAGAGAUAAUUCUGUUUCUUGCUUCCCAAUUUUUGGUCGACAAAACAGAGAGGCUUUACAUUAUAAAAGUUACAGUAAUAGAUUAUAAGUAAGAAAAUAAGGUCCAAGCCAGACUCCAACUUAUAAAGGUUUUGUCUUUCACGUAAGGGGAUAUCAUACUUCAUCUAAUCAUGGUUGUCGUGUAACCUAAUGAUGGUUAGUUACUACAUCCAUAGAGAAAAUGAACAUGGAGAUAUUCUCAUGUCCAUAGUUUCCAGCGAUGAGAAUGGGCUACCCGACAUUGCUCGGCUGCUGAAACUGAGCAAACUUUGUGUAGUUAUUCAUGGUAGAAAUUCCUAGUUAAAUUAUCUAUUUCGCCAAAUUGAGAAACUGCAUACAUGCCUUCGUCAAUGCGCAAUCGAACAGCCGUCAGGUGGUGAUGAGAGGACUACUAAAAGCAAGGGAAACACACUUAAGUUUGCUAUCCACAGUUUCUUCAGAAUCUAAAUACCAGUGGCAUCACAAGUGGGCUUCUCAAUUAAUCCAAAAGACCCAUCAGGUUGCAAAGAUAAAAACAAUGAACAGAACAUAUCUGAAAGCGGCCCGAGCAUCCUCUACUACUUUCGUUUAGAUGUUAUUUAUCUUGCUGUGUUGACAUAUUUUCUUCUUCCGUAGAUGCAAAGCAUCCAGGAUGUGAUCAAUCAUAUGCUGGAGAAUGGCAUUGAGACCUUACUUCACUGGAUAAUGGCAUUUAUAUGCGAUUCCAGUCCUUUCACAGUGCAGGUGAACUGGAAAUUCUAUCAAAGACAACUGUCCUUUCUUCAGUGUACAUGCAUGAUAUUACAUGAUUAAACAUACCAUUUUUAACUUCAUUUAGUUGUCUAUAUUAUGCUCUAUGUGCUAUUACCAACAGAAAUAGUGUUACCUCCGUACCAGGCCUUCCAAAUAUCUUAUAUUUUGGUACGGAGGUAGUACUUUUAGCCUGCAAAGCGACUUCUAUGCCCAUUGUGGCAAUAAUGUGUUUGCACCACUGAAGAGAUAACUUAUUUUUUUCAUUGUAAGAAACACAUCAUGUUUCUUCCCCAUCAUUCAAGUGUGUGCCAUGUUAUCUUUGUUCAUGUUGCUGGCUGUACAUUUUCAGUAUUCUCAGGAUAUAUCUGAUUAUGAUGAUGUUCCGUACUGCUCUGGAGCCGGCAACUUUUUGGACUGCUCGAUGUUUAUAACCAAUGAGACUACUUUUUUGGUUGUUGGCUGGAGCUAUCACUAUGACUGAAAUUUUCUUUUCACCCAAGUAAAUUUAUAUGGUCAUCAAAAACCAACGACAGGUCAACACUUGUCAGCAGUUUGCAAUUUGUAUUACAGUAUGCCUAAGCCAAUGUUCAGACAAUGUUGUUUUAGUUAGGAAAUGUAGAAAACAUGGUCAUGAUUUAUGUAGAUUGGACAGUCCCUUCAAACUGCAGUCUUUGAUCUAGAGUGGACAAUCUAACUAUAUGUUUCCUUUUAGAAAAUGACUAUAUGUUCCAUGAAUUCACUGCUUAUUUUGGCCAGAUCAGAUUAAACUAGGUCUUGAUUUCAAGGUUCAGUUAAGGCAGUUGGUGCAGGUUUGUUUGCUGUAAUACUAACUGUGCUAUUUAGACAGAGACAUUUGCUCUUUCUCAUUCCUCGACAUUUUCCUUUGCUACCAAGAUUUUUCAUUCUAGGUUGUGGAAAACGCAUGUAGCGUUCCUUCUACAAGUCGUCAUGAGCUGGGACAUAGAAGAAGAGAGCCGACGAGAAGUCGCAAAGCGGUUCGCUCUGGUGUCGCUGCCAAUGGCGCUGCACAAAGUGCAGAUUGCAGGCUAGAUGCGUACAAAUCCGUCCCUACUUCCACGACGUGGAAGCAAAGGAAAUUUAGUCAAUUAGAUAGUAUAUUUGGUUAUGAAAGUUAUCUUUUGUGUAUGCAGUUUUGCCAUCAUUUUGUAAAAGCUUUGAGUUUUUUUAUAAUGUAAUUGUCUUACUAAUCACACUUUUAAUUGAUUUGUGCCAAGGCUAAUAGCCAAGUUAUGCACAAACUGUUCAUGUUUCCUUGAUGACUGCUAUUGUCAGAAGAUUCUUUUCAGCAUUUAAGUAAUACCGAUCCCACUUUCAGUUAUGUGUGCAAAGGCCAGUAGCAAAAUAAUGACUGCUCCUUGCUGGUCGGAUAUUUCCUACUUCCAGGAUAUCUCAUUAUGCUUUCCGCAGCAUGCUGAUUUGUGAACGAGAACCUACGUGAUCACCCACCCUGAUUUGUGAAUUCGUAGUCACAUUCAGACACUCAGGUAUCUCUACUCCUAAUGAGCAGUUUGUGAAUAGUCCGCGCGGUUUAUUUUUGCUGGUUUAUUUUCGUCAUCCUUCCAUCUCCGUUUUAUUUUCGUCAUCCUUCCACCUUUGCUUACUCGGUACCCUCCAGCGAAAUAAACCGGUGCCAAAAAAACCCUAGGAUCGAUCCCUCGUUCCCACAGCAGAUCGGUCUCCGCCGCCAACCAGACCUUCGCACGCCCGAUCCAGCCCUACGCCCCCUCCGUGGCCGAUCCAUCCUGUUCCGCGGCCGAUCCAUGCCCUAUGCCGCCGCCGAUGCCUCCUCCUCCACCUCCAUUCCCAAGCGACGGCGCCCGCGGCCGCAGUCUUCUCCCCUAGCCACCAUGGCUGCAGAUCCACUCACGGCCGGUCGUCUAAGCUGCAAGCAUGGAUGGAUGGAUCCAGGAAGGUAUCCUUCCUCCCUGGGUGGAGCGAGCUGCACAUCCCGUUCGGCCCUCUGGAGCCGGCCAUCUCCGCCUCCUCCUCGCCGUCGCCGCCGCCGGGGAUCGUGUCUUCACCAAGCGCGAGCUCCGCCCCAUCCGACCGACCGCAAAGGGGUUAUCCAUUGUAAAUUUUCAAGGAAAUUCAAAUGUUCCUCUUCUGGCCGAUUGAAGGGAUACUUGAAGCUAGGGCAAUCCAAGUAAGAUAGCUUCAUCCUCAGGCAACAGGUUUAUGUUAUCUUAUCAUGGAGUCAUUUUUAAGUUUGUGCCCAACGCCUUCAUCCUUAGAAUGGCUGCCCAGAUGGCAAGCCACUGUACUCAGGCGACUGCCGCGCUAGCAGGGUGCUCCAACUUUUGAUGCCGGCGAAGCUUUUGGAAUGAUGGCUACAUAAUUUGUUAGUCUCCGGAAGCUUAAUUAAACUGAGGUUCAGAUGUGUGGCAAAGGAUUUCAAUUUUCCCGUUUACACAAAGGAAACUUGAGGAAGGUUCAGAUUUCUCAUGCUCGGUGCUGUGCUCUCAAGGUUACAUAGACAAAAAUGCCUCCUAUUUACACAACGGCAACCCGACGAAGGAUGACGGGGCGGGUCGGGAGGCGGGGAAAGCCGUCCAUGGCGAUCCUGGUGGCAUUGCUAAUGGCGCCAGUGGCACUGCCGCUCCUCAUGGUGCCCGACACGCUCUCUAUGCGAGGCUCCAACGGCGUGGAUCGCGGCGCCGCCCUGUCGCUCCCAUGCCCGUGCUUCAGCAGAUCCGUGUUUGAGUCAUGCAUACCUUUAGCUGCCUCCCCUCCAAUGUCCACGACUCUGAUAUACCGUGUUUGUUAGUCUUGACUGGUGUUUGUUCUCCGUAUUGUUGUGCAGGAGGCUGGAGAACAGCAGGGAGAAAAGGGAGUCGUGGAUGGAGGUUCUGUACUUCUGUUGUAUCAACAUCUUCUCCAUGAGUCUUUUGCCCCCACUCUGUUUUUGCUUUGGGCCGAAACGUCAUCGUCUUGAUUCUUUACGUGGUUCAUUGGCUCAGACUUGUCCUACAUGGCCGAGCGAGAUCGAGGCUAGCCGCCGGUAAUGUUCUUCUCCCGUGCAAGUUCCGCACUGCAUUGAAGCAUCCAACACAUGAUGUAGCUACGUUACAGGUGGGACAUCAGCCAAGUAUGUUUCGAGGUGAGACAUCCAUCAAGUUUGUUUGGAGAAAUUGUGCAGUCCAGCUCCACUGUGUCCAGCUCAUCCGACCAUGUGAUCCACUACAUCUAGGUCAGCCGAUCUUGUGGCAGAGCUACACUGACGCAAGAGCAAAUAGUUUUACAAUUUCUUUGUUGUUCCUUUGUACUGGAUAACUGUGCAUUUUUAGAGGUGUGAAGAUGUAAUGCAAUAACAGUAACUGGGCGUAGGCACAUCCGUCUCGAUAAGCAUUAUGGGAACGGACAAAGGCAAGGCAUUCCAAUAUAAGAAAUGGAUGAAGGCAAGGAGAGUCGGAUCCUCCUUGGCUCGGGGUGUCAUGGGCGGCGCAUGCCUCGCCCCCUUUGCUGGCGGUUGGAUCGGCGUGAGCACGGGGAGGGAGGAUUAGGGCAGAGAGUAGGGCGGUUGGUGGUGGACUCUUUAUUAGCAGUCCGUCGGGAAGUAUGGUGCGAAGGAGAGAGGUGUCAUUGCGAUGGUGAUGCCGGUGUCAUCUGCCUUUGAAGGAGAGUGCUCCAGUGAGAAAUGUCCUGCUACAGCAAGAAAUCAAGCAGGAAGGGAGGGUCCUGCAGGAAAAGGGAAGGGUGCGUCAUGGGGUGGAAUUUUUUGUUGGGACUUUGGACCGUGUGUUUAAGAUAACAUGACAGAUAGUGCUGACAACCAUAUGUCCCCCCCAUGGGCUGGAUUUGGGGGUGGAUGGACUGUCCAGAUGGUUGGAUUUUGGAUAGCCUGUUAGGGGCUUGUUUGAUGCUCAAACACGCCCGGAUGUAAGGGAAAUGAAUUUCAACCUUGGAAACGGCCUUAAUCAUUUAUUUGAUUUAUUUAUAUGCACUAUAGCUUGUAUCAUACAUAAAGAAGCACUCAAAAUAAAGCAAACACGGCUGAACUUAAUCAUUUGUUUGAUUCAUUUAUACAUAUUGUAGCCCGUACCAUACAUACAGAAGCACUUGAAAUAAAGCAAGCCGAUUGGGAUUCCGAUAUAUCUGAACAACAAUGUUUAUAUCUGUAUGGUAUUCCAAUGAGCAUAGGCGGGUAACAAAUUCGGAAUACAAACAUUUAUUUUUGUCAUCACUAUAUAUAAUAUAAUAUUAAUUUUGGAAAUUGUGGGGAUGUGCCUCGCUAUUUUGGUUUUCAUUUUAUGCUCUGGUGGAACAGUAAAGAACCGGUUAAGCCGCUUUGCGCGAUGCAUAUUGUCUGUUAAAUGUUUGAAGACCUUGGAUGUGAAGUACUCGUGCUAACUACAUUUUUUUGCUUGUGUGGGAUGAGUAUGAAUUGAGGAAGUAGUUUUUAUUAUAUUUUCUAAAACAUGGUGCGAAUGAAGCUAAAGAAUCUUUUCCAUUGGGCGAGAAUUUCUUAAGCGCAUCAAGUAGUAGAUCUUAAUAAUUUAUAAUGGAUUUUUAAUUGGAUCAUUGCUCUAUAUGUAUACAUCAUCAAUUUGCAUUUUUGUUAUCAAUUAUUGUAAGUGAAGUGGACUUCAAUUAUUAUGCACUUGUGUCCGUGCUAUAUUGUCUUUA
RNA transcript from Triticum aestivum (bread wheat), 6365 nucleotides. RefSeq lists it as uncharacterized. The record is from RefSeq and is a predicted model, not a curated record. Lineage: Eukaryota; Viridiplantae; Streptophyta; Magnoliopsida; Poales; Poaceae. The transcript is spliced from 11 exons.